AGCGAACGCUGGCGGCGUGCUUAACACAUGCAAGUCGAGCGAAGGUGUUUCAAGGGUAACCUUGAGAUACACUUAGCGGCGGACGGGUGAGUAAUACGUGGAUAACUUACCUCUAGGCCUGGGAUAACCCCGGGAAACUGGGGGCUAAUACCUGAUAAGACCACAUUGUCUACGGACAAAAGGGGUAAAAGGUGGCUGUGCAAACAGCUAUCGCCAAAAGAUAGGUUCACGUCCCAUCAGGCAGUGGUGAGGUAAUGGCUCACCAAACCAAAGACGGGUAGCCGGCCUUGGCGGGUGAACGGCCACACGGGGACUGAGACACGGCCCCGACUCCUACGGGAGGCAGCAGUGGGGAAUAUUGGGCAAUGGGCGCAAGCCUGACCCAGCGACGUCGCGUU
This 398-nucleotide ribosomal RNA is filed under the name uncultured bacterium. Its description in RNAcentral is "bacterial SSU rRNA". It matches the Rfam family "Bacterial small subunit ribosomal RNA", at positions 29 to 403 of the family's 1533-position model. The record is from RNAcentral.